UACACAGACAGUCUGGCCUCCAGUCAAGU
This 29-nucleotide non-coding RNA is filed under the name Mus musculus (house mouse). The record is from RNAcentral. Lineage: Eukaryota; Metazoa; Chordata; Mammalia; Rodentia; Muridae.